AUGGUAGAGGCACGUGAUUGGAUCAACAAAUUUGAAAGUAUUAAGGAUUAUAGUGGAUGGAAUCCUAUUUUGGAAUUUGUCCCAGAUGGCAGUCCUCCUCAUGGUGUUACUUCCGUGUGGGGGAUUGCAGGGGUCGGGAAAUCAGCUCCAGUCAGAAGCUUUUAUUACAAGAGUAUGAUUGGUGAUCUUGAACCGGUCAGGAAGUACAGCUGGGUGGAUGUUCCCCAACCAUUCGAUUUGACAGACUUUUGUAGACAAUUAUAUAUGGAUUUUAAUUCGGAUGAUCUUGAAGAAAAAGAAACUGCAGCAGUUCGUAUGAUAGAAGGCCAGGACCCAAUUCAAGGGUGUCGUAAGUUUUUGCAGGAAGACGACUACUUUGUUGUUUUUGAUGGUUUAUGCUCCAUACAUGACUGGGAUCAGAUAAAAGAAGUGUUAUUAUCUGAGCCAAUUAAAGGCAGUAUAUUUGUCAUUACAAAUGAAAAAGGUGUCGCCACACAUUGUGUAGAUGAUCGAGAAGAUAGAGUGUUUAAUGUGAAAGGUCUUGGUGCUGACACGGCCCUUGCUCUCUUCACAAAGACAUGA
RNAcentral lists this ribosomal RNA (582 nucleotides) under Triticum aestivum (bread wheat). Its description in RNAcentral is "partial small subunit ribosomal RNA". Lineage: Eukaryota; Viridiplantae; Streptophyta; Magnoliopsida; Poales; Poaceae. The record is from RNAcentral.